Non-coding RNA from Acanthosepion pharaonis, 99 nucleotides. Lineage: Eukaryota; Metazoa; Mollusca; Cephalopoda; Sepiida; Sepiidae. The record is from the annotation of a GenBank genome assembly.
AUUGAAACAUUGGUUCCUGUGCAAUCACCAAAGUUAAGCAGUGCCAAGCCUGGUUAGUACCUAAAUGAGUGACCUCUUGGGAAUACCAGGUGCUGUAAG